CAACAUGCCAUCAACCACUUCAUGGUACAGCUGCUGGUACUCUUCCACUGUGUGGUUGUGGAUCUUCAGGGGGCCAUCUUGCUGCACUGGUUCGGUGGAGGGCUGGAAGCUGGGGGCUGCUGGAGAUGGAGAGCGCUGGCACGUCAAGUGAGAAUUCUGUAUGUGUAGAAGAUGCACCCAUCUGUUGUUUGCAAAGGAGGCAGGCUGGAGAGUGUAACCUCACAUCCUCUGAGCAUGGAUGUCAGUUAUGUCCCAGAUUCACAACGAGGAGAGCAUAGGACUGCUACUCUUAGACCCAGAUGAAACACUGGAAUGGGUCCAGUGUCAUGUGUGCAAAGGCUGGCUGCAUACAGACUGUGCAGGAGCAUCUGAGAGAGGAGUUAACUGUGGACGCACAGAUUCAAACGAAAACACGAGGUCAUCAUCAAAUUCUUGGCAAUGCAAGGUCUGACCCGGCUACAGGUGGAGGCGGUGAUGGCCAGCAGGAGUCGGUUUUAACUGUUGUUUGUUG
This is a long non-coding RNA of Archocentrus centrarchus (flier cichlid), 511 nucleotides long. RefSeq lists it as uncharacterized. The transcript has 4 exons. The record is from RefSeq and is a predicted model, not a curated record. Lineage: Eukaryota; Metazoa; Chordata; Actinopteri; Cichliformes; Cichlidae.